RNAcentral lists this ribosomal RNA (1440 nucleotides) under Triticum aestivum (bread wheat). Its description in RNAcentral is "partial small subunit ribosomal RNA". Lineage: Eukaryota; Viridiplantae; Streptophyta; Magnoliopsida; Poales; Poaceae. The record is from RNAcentral.
AUGUCCCGCUCCAAGGCCGACCCUUCCGAUGUUGGUUCCUUCGCCGGCGCCAUGUUCACCUCCGACCGCCUCAACGAGCUCCACAUCAUGGACCACGUACCCGUCGUCCUCGACCUCGACUCGCCAUCCUACAACGCGUGGUGCACCUACUUCGCGCUGUUGUUCCUCUCCAACCGUCUCAUCGAGCAUGUUGACGGGAGCGUUGACAUCCGCGACAUGAAGGACGACGACGAGUGGCUCGCCGUGGACGCCUGCAUCGUCAAGUGGCUCUUCCUCACCAUCUCCGCAGUCGUGUGGCGCCCUUGCGCUCCCUGCGCCGCGGCCACCUGCUUCUUCGGUGGCCCGUCCGGCCUUCCCGACCGGACCCUCAUCGCCGGUUGUGGUACAGCCGGCCUCAUCUUCGUCCUCGUCGGUCCAGGAGGAUCUGACCUCCUCCCCGCUGGCCUCGACUCCAGCCCAUGCAGGCACGAUGGCCUCUUCAUCGACCUUGGCCGUCGCCUCCCCCGUGGCGUCACCCCUUGUGGGGUCUUCUACGACGGCUGCGGUCUCGCCCGCCGACACGUCGCGCGGGGCGCCUUCUACGCCGCCUGUGGUCUCACCCGCGGACCCGUCAUCGCCACCCGCGGCUCCCCACCGGCCGGAUUGAACCUCAUCGCCGCCGGGGACGAACCACUUGGUGUGAAGAAAUCGCCAUGGCCGCAACACCUGCACACCAUAGCCUCUGAACAACAGCUGGAUCUGCCUCCCAUAAGGCACGCACGCCGGGAGGAAUGGAGUCGGCCGCCUUUCGGCCAGAAGAAGCAGCGAACCAGCGGAGACCGGCAGCCAAUCGAGGGCGCCGUAGCUCCACCAUGGAAUCAACUGCUGAUGUGCACGAACUCGAUCUGCCGGCUUCAAGUAUCUGCAACGCCCCUGCUCCUCAUCCACCAGCAAAAGGGAGACCGACCACCUAACCCAUCCUCGCGCCGGACGGCAGAGCCGCCGGAGAGAGAGAGGGAGAGGGGCGGUGACGGAGUGCACGAGGAGACUCUCAACAGGAGCAGGGAAGAGAAGGGUGACGAAUCUCCCCUCUUUCAAUCCAAAAAUUGCUUCUCCUUCCUCCCGCCGAGUCUCUUGCUCGCGCCCACCCCCUCCCUCCUAGCGUUGAUGGAAGAAACAUGGCCAGCCCUCGGCCUGGCGGCCGGCGACGCGGCCUUCCCGCCCCCGCCUCCCCGUGGCGUGGGGCGAGGCCGCGACGGCGCGACGAGGCCGCUCGAACCGUGUGCACCAGCAAGAAGGCCAGCUCGAACAAACAGGAUGCCCUGCAAAACGAUUUCGAACGAGGUGCGUGUAGUUAGCAGAUUAGCCGCUCAUGAGUGCUCUGCAAUGCCAUAUGCCAUUGCUCAGAUUGUCAUGGCCAAACUCUUCAGGCGGUAUCUUAAGCUUUCGCUAAUGAGUUAA